GGGCGCUUAGCUCAGUUGGUUAGAGCAUCUGCCUUACAAGCAGAGGGUCGGGGGUUCGAGUCCCUCAGCGCCCACCA
RNAcentral lists this transfer RNA (77 nucleotides) under Candidatus Goldiibacteriota bacterium HGW-Goldbacteria-1. RNAcentral describes it as "Candidatus Goldbacteria bacterium HGW-Goldbacteria-1 tRNA-Val". It matches the Rfam family "tRNA". Rfam says of the family: Transfer RNA (tRNA) molecules are approximately 80 nucleotides in length. Lineage: Bacteria; Candidatus Goldiibacteriota. The record is from RNAcentral. RNAcentral also lists the same sequence under 1 other name.